RNAcentral lists this ribosomal RNA (253 nucleotides) under uncultured bacterium. RNAcentral describes it as "partial 16S ribosomal RNA". It matches the Rfam family "Bacterial small subunit ribosomal RNA", at positions 524 to 776 of the family's 1533-position model. The record is from RNAcentral.
UACGGAGGGUGCAAGCGUUGUUGGGAAUCAUCGGGCGUAAAGCGCGUGUAGGCGGCUUGGUAAGUCGGGUGUGAAAUCCCGGGGCCCAACCCCGGAACUGCAUUCGAAACUGCCUGGCUAGAGUCCCGGAGAGGAAGGCGGAAUUCCCGGUGUAGAGGUGAAAUUCGUAGAUAUCGGGAGGAACACCAGCGGCGAAGGCGGCCUUCUGGACGGUGACUGACGCUGAGACGCGAAAGCGUGGGGAGCAAACAGG